CUACAACCCAUUUGUUUCCUCUCUUUGAAUACAUGUUAGGAGUAGAGUAUUUGUAUAUAUUUAACAAGAAUUCAUGGAUUCUGAUAAAUCCUUGAGUCAAUAUUCUCCUAUUAUGCUGAAAGAUCUGAGAUUGAUAGUGGCUGCCUUAUGAUAUUGUUGUUGAGGGCAGCUUGGGUGUCUUGGGAGAGGAUGUAUGAAGUUGUGUUAAUGUGUAGAGGAAGGGUUUGGUGGUUCACCAUUUGUGUAAGGGUUGUAUGGGCCUGCUUUCAAUCAAAUAUUUCAGCUACUAUUUUCGAGGGUCUUAAUGUGAUUAGCUGCUGACGUUAGCUUAAUCAUGACUCAUGUUGUAAAUCAGCACCCAAAAAGGAAAGGCUGAAUCAUGAUAUUUAUACCGGUCAGAGGAUAAGGUGGAAGCUCAGGGGCAAAAAACUAGAAUGGGUCGAUCCCAAUCGGUAUAGAAGGGUGGCAGCUCAGGGGCGAAAGCCUAACAUGGGCCGAUCCCAAAUUGUGUAAUUAUGAGGACCACAUACCAGGGGUUAAUAUUCCUAGCACGGGUCAUCCUCUUCUACCAUUGAUCAUCUUGUCACUUGUAUCACUUUUCCUACAAAGAUUAUAGCGUACAGAACAAUAAAGGAAAGAACGUAACAUACAUGAUCGCACAAGAGUAAAUAAAGAUGAUCUUCUCUCCUUAUAUAUGCACUCAUAUGUUGGUACUUGAUUUCAUUUGAGCCCUCUUAUUA
Non-coding RNA from Solanum lycopersicum (tomato), 740 nucleotides. The record is from RefSeq and is a predicted model, not a curated record. NCBI's taxonomy places the organism in Eukaryota, Viridiplantae, Streptophyta, Magnoliopsida, Solanales, Solanaceae.